Molecule: long non-coding RNA, 1938 nt
Organism: Xenopus laevis (African clawed frog)
Lineage: Eukaryota; Metazoa; Chordata; Amphibia; Anura; Pipidae
Exons: 5
Source: RefSeq, a predicted model, not a curated record
AGGUUUUAAUCAUCACUUCACUUCUACAGUUCCCACACAGAGACAGGUUCCCAUAUUAGGCCAGCAAAACACUAGCACGCCGCAGCCCCACCAAUGAGCGUGUCCCUGGGCGGAGCUUAACUUGUAUCACAGCGGCUCCCGCUAAAAAGCAGGAGAGUAUAUUGGUGCCCAGGCCACACAAAAUUGACCUGCAUGUCCCGGUAGUUCUAUUGAAUCCCCCUCCCGCACACAGUCCUGCAGUGCCGGGGAAUUCAUGGCAGCGCUGGGGCAGGAACCUGUGCCGUUCCCUGGUGCAGCAGCCACACUCAGCCACUUGUUGGAUUCACUGCGGGUAGCCAAUGAGAAUUUAGGGUACUAGUCCCGUUAUCACCUGUCCAAUCAGAAGCUGGAGUACGUGUGACGUGAUUCUACUGUUAGUGACAUGAAAGAAUCCUGUCCUGCUGUCAAACUCUAUGGUACAGGUGUAACUAAGGGAGACCGUUAUUAGCUCAGGCUGUAAUCUCAGCAUGUGCCCAAUGCAAUGGCAAAGCAGUGAUUAGUAAGUAAGUGCACGUCACGUUGCUGCUUUGGAAUUUCUUACGCGAUGGAGUUAUGAGGAAAACGUGAUGCGGCUGCCUACAUCCAUCUUCAGUAGCCGAGACGAGCAGCUGAGGAACAUGUGGAAAUGUCCCUGAGCCAUGGCGCCGAAUUACAGGAAGUAGCACUCGAUCAUUUCACUAAUUGCUCUUGUUGCGCUGAGUUAGCCUGGUAGGGUAUCAGCAAUAGAUGCAGACACUGGCAGUGGCCUCAUUACUUCCCCAGUGGACUCCCAUAAAGCUAUAGCGGAAUUAUAAAGGAACAGGCUGGCUGUCAGGGAGUGCAGUGCAGCCGGGAGUUGUGAAGUGCUCAAAGAUCGUGGGGCCAAAUUGCCAUUAUUGCUGAACAAUAUCCAAAGUUUUUAAUAAUGUAUGAGCCGUGGCUUGGAAGGGGGGUAUGUACCUGCUGAUUAACAGUGUGCAGCCUGGAUUAGAAAUAUCCAAGUAUUUCAACUGUAGAGAAUCACACACACAUAGCCCUGGUCACAUGCUCCAUGGUCACAUGACCCAGAUAACUGCCGUUUUUCUGUCAGUUAGGUGAGCCGAUCAGCCGAAGAACAGGUGAUUUCCUCUGCGAUUUUGGAGCUGACCUGACACGUCCAAAAUUGGAAAAAGGAGAUGAAAGAGAGAAGGUGACAAAGUUAGGUGAGCCGAUCAGCCGAAGAACAGGUGAUUUCCUCUGAGGUUUUGGAGCUGAUCUGACACGUCCAAAAUUGGAAAAAGGGGAUGAAAGAGAGAAGAUGACAAAGAGAAUGUGUGCCCCCUCACCACACCCUGCCCCCAUAAUGGAAAGGAGAGAAACUACAUGUGCCUGAAUCCAUCACUUCACAAUGGAACAAGAGGAGGAAGGGUUCAAUGUUAUCCUAAAGAGGUGGGGAAAAAGUCUAAAUGAGCAUCAUGGUCACUGGAAAAGGGCCUGGCAAAGAGAUCUGCCGAGUGUCAGGCCUGGCCUUGUGAGGUGAAAAAAGUGCAAAGACUUUUGAGCACUAUGGACCCACCAGUGAAGAAAACUGGGAAGUAACUCCCCGAGGAAGAUGCGUUUCACGAAAAUUAUGAGUCUUUGUACAGAUGAGCAGAUGAAUAUGUACUUAAUGGAAGAUGAAUCUAGGAAAUGAACCCUCUUCUACACACCCUAAAUAGAGUUUAUUUCUCUUCAUAAAUCUGAUCUUUAUUCCAAGUAUCUGCGUUAACCUCUUAAUGCCCAGAGGGAAGGGCAGUCCUUCCAGCCAUGGUUCCCGGGGUUUUUCCUCUCCUGAGUGCUGAAGGAUGACUCUUCGUGAGUUCAGAGGUUCCUCUAAAUAUUGACACUAUAAGAUGUUAUUUCUUAAAGAAGCAGUGAGCGAUAUUAAAAUACUUUAAUUGA